This is a non-coding RNA of Podarcis lilfordi (Lilford's wall lizard), 128 nucleotides long. The record is from the annotation of a GenBank genome assembly. Lineage: Eukaryota; Metazoa; Chordata; Lepidosauria; Squamata; Lacertidae.
ACCACAAGCAUCCCCAACCUUUGGCCGGCCAGAUGUUUUGGACUACAAUUCCCAUCAUCCCUGACCACUGAUCAUGGGAGUUGUAGGCCAAAACAUCUGGAGGGCCGCAGGUUGGGGAUGCUUGCUUU